Molecule: ribosomal RNA, 636 nt
Filed under: Aspergillus spinosus
Lineage: Eukaryota; Fungi; Ascomycota; Eurotiomycetes; Eurotiales; Aspergillaceae
Description: eukaryotic LSU rRNA
Rfam family: Eukaryotic large subunit ribosomal RNA
Source: RNAcentral
GGUUGACCUCGGAUCAGGUAGGGAUACCCGCUGAACUUAAGCAUAUCAAUAAGCGGAGGAAAAGAAACCAACAGGGAUUGCCUCAGUAACGGCGAGUGAAGCGGCAAGAGCUCAAAUUUGAAAGCUGGCCCCUUCGGGGUCCGCGUUGUAAUUUGCAGAGGAUGCUUCGGGUGCAGCCCCCGUCUAAGUGCCCUGGAACGGGCCGUCAUAGAGGGUGAGAAUCCCGUCUGGGACGGGGUGUCUGCGUCCGUGUGAAGCUCCUUCGACGAGUCGAGUUGUUUGGGAAUGCAGCUCUAAAUGGGUGGUAAAUUUCAUCUAAAGCUAAAUACUGGCCGGAGACCGAUAGCGCACAAGUAGAGUGAUCGAAAGAUGAAAAGCACUUUGAAAAGAGAGUUAAACAGCACGUGAAAUUGUUGAAAGGGAAGCGUUUGCGACCAGACUCGCCCGCGGGGUUCAGCCGGCAUUCGUGCCGGUGUACUUCCCCGUGGGCGGGCCAGCGUCGGUUUGGGCGGCCGGUCAAAGGCCCUCGGAAUGUAUCACCUCUCGGGGUGUCUUAUAGCCGAGGGUGCAAUGCGGCCUGCCCGGACCGAGGAACGCGCUUCGGCUCGGACGCUGGCGUAAUGGUCGUAAAUGACC